Long non-coding RNA from Alligator mississippiensis (American alligator), 775 nucleotides. RefSeq lists it as uncharacterized. The transcript is spliced from 3 exons. NCBI's taxonomy places the organism in Eukaryota, Metazoa, Chordata, Crocodylia, Alligatoridae. The record is from RefSeq and is a predicted model, not a curated record.
GACAUAAAAAUUAGUAUCUGUAUUUGCAGUAUGGAAUAUGUAAGUAAAUAUCAGACCAUUGUCUAAUGGCAUAUUUUUUCAUUAUUAGUCAACAGGGACUACAUAAGAGGUAAUACAGCACUUAAAAUGCCACAGAAAGAACCACAAGAUGCCUUGAUAGAUCACAUUUCAGCUCACAUCUCUGGUGCAGUAAAAUUCCUAAAGAAGAGGAAAAACCUUAAAAGGCAGGGGAGAGAAAGAAGUUAAAGGUUGCAGCGACAUUGAGUCAGCAGUUAAAGAUUACCAAAUACUAAAUCAUGCCUUCACCCUGAUGGCUGAAGACUACAAGCAACAACCCCCCUGAAGAUUGCAGACCACAAAGCCAGAAGAUCACCUCCUACCAAUCCCAGCCUGCCAAUGGGACAAGAAGGAUGACCUUCAUGUCUGACUCAGUGGAAUCUAUAGGCUUGUAUGGACAGCUAUCACUAUAAAGAAUGAACACAAAGAAAAGGCUUUGGGUCUGUCUACCUGCAAGAUGGAGUUUUGGGUGCGUCCAACAAGACCUGACUCCAUUCCUUGUGUUCAGUCCAGCUGGCCACCAGACUGACCCGAGCAUCUUUAGAACUUGGUAACAGCUUAACCUUUGCAGGACUGUCUAACUAUCUGUGUCUGUGCUUGUUUCUUUUGUAUGAAAGAACAAAAGAAUGAGUAUGUAUGGGAAUGAGUGAAGCGGAUAACCAUAUUGUUCUUUAUUCUUUUUAUGUUGUAUGUUUUAUGUUCCAAUAAAUGUGGCAUU